Betta splendens (Siamese fighting fish) is the source of this 8237-nucleotide long non-coding RNA. RefSeq lists it as uncharacterized. The transcript is spliced from 2 exons. The record is from RefSeq and is a predicted model, not a curated record. Lineage: Eukaryota; Metazoa; Chordata; Actinopteri; Anabantiformes; Osphronemidae.
CGUAUUGUGUUAUGUGGCUCUUUUAUUUUGAAGCGCAGAUUGUUGCGUGACGUCAGGUGUGCUUCCGGGAAAAAAGGGACCCGGGAGAAAGGGGCGGGAGUUUUUGUUCUGUGUAGUUCCGGGGGAGCUUAAAGACUGUGGUGAGACCUGUUGUGACCCCGCUGUUGUUAUAAGAAAAUAAAAAGAAGUGCUGUUCACACCGAGGCUCGUAACAAUAUUCAUCCUGCUGCAGCCAGGUUUCAGUGAGACAGAACAGAUCUAUGUAAUGGUCACUUAUCAAGUCAUUUAUUAAAAAGGAUUUAGAUGAGAGAGAUCUGAUAUUUAAUAAACCACACUUUAUUAGCUUACUGUUACUUUGUUCCGUAAGAGGAACUGUUUUGAUGUUUAUUAAAUUCUGGUAAGUCACUCCUCUUUGAUUUGUUUGUGACUUGUAUAGUUUAGGUGGUCGAGAAGCAGACACAGUCUCUAUGCAAUAACUAAGACUAAGAGUGGGUCGCGGCUGUAGAGAACGUGCAGAGAGGCGUGUAAGACUGCGACUCUGCGUCCUGGGCUCCACUCUGAGUUGUCACGGAGUGGGGAGGCUAAGCAACAUGGCCAUGUUACUAGAAAGCAGAGAGGCUCCGUUCAACGUGGGAUGGACGCCGUCUCUUCUAAUCAGCCCAGGUUUUCCCCAAGAAAUGCUCCAAUUAGCCACAAAGCCCACAUCGUUUGCAGGACACCACCUAGACAACCAGCGGUGGAGCGAUGACAGCCGGCUAUACAUGUCAUCGCUGGUCACAUUGGGGAGGGGUCCAGAGAAAACUACAGAGUCCGACAUUGUUUUGGUGGUGAACCGUGGGCGCCUGCCUAAAGCUACGUUUCUUACGAGCCGUGACCCAGUCGUUACCCAGCUGCCUGGGACCUGCCGGGGGACUGGUAGCAGCUAAGCUAGGAGGCUCCGCACCGGCUAAAGGGACCUGGCUAGCUGGCCUGUUUUCUAAAGAGCGAAGCCGAGACUCUAAGUCUAACAACCUCGCCUCCAACCCUGCAACUAGCGUACACCUAUUACAGAUACCAUUACCAUCACUAAAGGAGGCAGAGGAUAAGCUAAACAUAAGACACACCGAGCACCGAACAGAGCGAGAGGGAGAGGAAAAGGGGGAAGUCAUAGCAGGAAAGUAAGCUAGGAGAAAACACUUAGAUAACAGUGUAAAUUAGCAGGACGUUUAAUGAAAGGAAAAGAUGCUUGAGUGUUACAAGCUUUGUUUGCAACUUUUAGCAGUCGCUAUCAGAUAUAAAACGAUAAUAUUUAGAAAACAGCGGAGAGUAACGCUGUACACACACAGCGGCAGCAAACCCCAGUAACCGGAAGUGACGCGAUACGCUUACCGUCAGUCAGCCAACCACCAGAGCUCAGCUCAAACCCUAUACAGAUACAAGGAAAUGAACGAUUUCUGAUUUCUGACAUUCAUUUAUUUGUCACCUGAUUGUUAUGGGAAAAAUUGUCUCUUCCUUAUUUCUAUGCAUUUCUAUGCAGUUAUUAUACGAGUUAUGACUUAUGUUCUGCAAUUAAUAUCUUAUGUUUUGUCUUACUGUAUGCAUUUGACAUUUCACCUAGAUUGUUCAAUGGUUGUCUCUGCCUGAUAGACUCUCAACUCUAGCUCCCAAACCCAAGGUCGGGGAGUUGUGUCUCUGUCUGUUGAGACUUGGUGCUCCUUUCUCACAGAUAGUUGGACGUCAGCGAUGCAGGUGUGAGAAAGUAAAAAUCUUCACACACACUGCGACAGGGAGGAGAUGGUGCAUGUAAUUUGAUUGGGUUAGAAAGACAUUCCACCCUAGUCGGACAGAGAAGCUAAAAGGCAGAAGCAACUUGAGGAUCGUGGGCUCUUUGCAUCACACCUUCGUGGUGUGUGCACUGAUCUCCCCAGCUGGUUUUUGGUUUGUUGAUGUGCACGAUCAACAUCCAUGCUUUUUAUUUGCUUUCCCCAUUAUUUUUAUUUUCUUUAUUAUUUCAAUAAAUCGCACAAAAGGACAACUCUCUCAUCUACUUCUUUAUGGAAAAUUUCCACCACAGAAAUUGGCGUCACGAACAGGAUCCCGCUGCAGGUCGUCUGGACGAUGUGACCAGGGACGAUAGUCCUGAGGACUAGGGUCGCUCAGCCUCCAAACCUCUACAGACAUUCAGAGCUGGGAGGACUGCUCACCCGUCUGGAUCGCCUCUGACGAGAUCCACGAACUCAGAUUCAAACUCAAAUCCUAAUUUGGCUCGGCUCGGUGAGAGAGAUUCCUUUUGAUUUGGGAAAAAACAAAAAGAUUGGAACUUUUAUUUUUAAUUUAGCUGAAACAUUUCAAUUGGUUGAAAAAAAAAGGAAAGAAAUCUUCUGUUUGGUUGAAACACUAAAUUUGAUUAGGAAAAUUAAUUAGAUCGAGAAAAAAGAAAAAAAAAUCCCAAUAAUACAUGUUCUUAAUUAGGAAGUCUGCUCUGGGUGGUGAGACGUCGGUUGCUAAGGGUUGGCUCGUGGAACCGAGCUUCCGUCUGUACUGAGGAUACAGACCAGUGUGCAGAUCUGAGCGCAGUCCAAAGGGUGUGGACAAGGAAAUAAAAGACGGCUUCUGAAAUACGGAGCGCGUUUGCAGGGGGAAGUGGUUUUGAGAUACGAGGGACCCGGGUCUUAGAGGGGCCUGACGGUGAGGGACCACUUCCGAGAACCCUGUCGCUGAUCUGAGCGGUUCCCUUUCUACGGAGACGUCCGUGGAAGAGAAAUUUCGAAAAAAGGUUCCGGCCGGAACACAAAAAAGUCUAAGGCAGAAAACCGCUGGGACUCUGAAAGAUGGGUUCGGGGCGAUCUAAGUCUCCACCACCAGACUGCAGCAUUACAAAAGUAAAAGUAAUUAAAAGUAAAAAGUUAAUAUGGUUAUUAGUGCGUUUCAUGUUUCCAUGAGUGGGAAACUGGUUAUGGGUUCAAAAGGAGAAUCGCUUUGUGUAAGGACAUACGCACCUUAAAAGAAAAAUUAGAGACAAAAGAAAAUACUUGAAAAAGCAAAACUAUCAAAACUAAAGCCCUAAAAGAAACAAGAGAGAUGAGAGUAACAGGAAAAAAGGAGAUAACAACUCUGGGGAAGAAUUGUUUGCAUACACCACACACACAUCAUGUUAAGAGCAAAUGCUCCCAUUGUUUCUGCUCUUUGUCCUAAUGCAGAACCGAGCGCGAUGAGGGUAAAUCCGGAUCUGGACUCCUUUCCCACCAUCAGCAGAAGAACCGAAGGAGAAGAAGCGCCUGUCCAACAACCAGAACAGGGUGGAAGCUCUGACACCACAGCAGCUGGAGGACACAGACCACAGCAUGGACGCCUCAGCGACUCUCACAACGUCUGCAGCCAUCACGUUCUGGGCUCAUCAGAUGAACCAGCUACUACAAGCCCUGCACCAGCAUGAAAGGACUGUGUCUGAAGCUUCUGAAGCCGUGAAAGUGUCAUACACGCGUGUGUGUCUGACAGACACCUGCUUAUGACAAUCAGCAAAGGAAAACAAGGACAGAGCAACAGCAGAGAAGACGUGCUCUGACACAGACACUGGUUGAAACAACAGGAGAGGCUUCAGACGUGAUCGGCCCAAUAGAGCUGCAUGCGAGGAUCCAGGAAAGGUCUGUCAUCGAGGAACAACUGUCCCAUCGAAAGGCUUCACCCACUGGCGCUCACAUCAGACUGAUGGUUGGAGAAGGAGGAAGGUGACGGUUCCUUUUCACGUGACGUACAAGACGGUACCGCAAACACACACACACACACAUUCAUACACGCAAUGAAGAAACACGCUUACAGCUGAUACACGCUCAAAUUCAUGUUCAUGCUUAUCUGCUCGCAAUGAAGAAUCGCUUUUUGCUCAAAAAAAAAUCCCAGAGUGAUUUUCAAAUUAUGACAAACAGCUAAAUGACAACUGCUGCAUGACUUUACAGUCUGAUGGGUUUAAACUAUUUUAACUUGCAACAAAUUCAGUAAUAAAAUCCUUCAUGUUUCUAAAAAUACUUGUGCACAAUAUAGGUUUGUCUGGCCAGACUAUAGAAAAACAAAAUCAGACUAUAGAAAAACAAAACAGACUGUAGAAAAACAAAACAGACUGUAGAAAAAAACAAAAAAACAGACUAUAGGAAGACUGAGACUGACUGAAACAGACUAUUAAUGACUAUUAAAGGGAAGACGACUAUUAGAGAGAAGUAAUAAUAAUUACUGUACGUACCAGACUAUUAAAGAAAACUUACUGUUUCACUGUCUUGUGCAACAUCUGCAGCAAGACACCUUAACAUUCAUUUUUGCUUUCAAACUUGUGCCCAGUUAAAUUUUUAGGAAGAGAUCUCAUGUAGUUUAGAUAUUUGAUUGAUUUCCACUCCAGACGGAGUGCAGGUUACAUCUACAGACAUUCUAAAUAAUCCUUCUUUUGUUGGUGUUAACUUCAUCUCAGCUGUGCUCUUAUCAUUGGCUGCUGAGGGGGGGGCUGUAACUGAGGCCCUCACACAGGCUGCAUCACAGUUUGUUUAUGAUUUCACACACACACACAAACUGACCUCAACUUCCCUCUUUUGGGAUGAACACAGGUCUGCGCUUGCGAUUUCUUUUACUAACGAACAAAAAGAUUUUUGAUGUUUAUUCUACAGCUCCACACGUCCCUCUGUGAAAACAUGAUGGAGACAGAUGCAGGACGUGGGUCCUUUCGUGAACAGAUGUGAACGGGGUGGAGACUGGUGAACGACUUCUGACCCCAUAGGACGCUCUGACCCAACACUCAGCCUUACAGGAAGCCCUGCUUCCCUGUGGCUCACACACAGACAUGAUGUAGGUUUGAUCAGAGGAUGUGAACCAGUGGUCAUCACACCUAAAUCUGACCACAGACCAUGUAAACAACAACACCCUCUUAAAGGAAGCUAUAGAUGGCGUUACUGCAGACACCACUAAGCUACUGAAACAUUGGAUGCUACAGGCCACAAAGAGAGCCUGUCUAAAUUACAGUUUGUUCAGACAAAGGUUAUUUUCUGGGUCAUUGUAAUUACAGCUGAUGGCAAAUCCAUCUCACCCAACUGAGUUAAAGCAAUUUGAAACCUGCCUAAACCGUGCACGUAAAAACAGCUGAUGUUUUUUCUAGGUCUUUGUUCUUAUUGUAGGACCUUCAGUCCUAACUUUACCUUCUCUGAGGUCCCACUCAGGGUUCUGAUGCAGACGUCUUCAUCGUCCACUUCUUGUCUCACGUGGACGCUUGAGGCUGAACAACGUUCACCGACCUCAUGCUUGCUCUUCAGUCGACUCCUACUUUGGGUCUUCCUGAUCUGACCCUACGCGACCUUUCACUCAAACAGUGGAUGAGAAAUCAGGUUGUACGACUUCUGUUCUUUUGUCCUCAUACUGUGUCUUUGAUUCUUUUGAAAAACAUCACAUCUUUCCACAGCUCGACGGCUUAGAUACAACACCACCUUACUCAACAUGCUGAACGUUACUAUCAAGACGUCGUCUUGAAGUCUGGCACUUUGCUAAGACACUACUCUGCUCAGGCUGCAGAGUUGAUUGUGUUGACUGAAGCUAUUAAACUAGCAGAAGGAGAGUCUGUUACCAUCUACACAGACUCACAGACGCUCUGUGGAAGCAUGGGAAGCUUUGAAGUCUGAUUGCAAACCUAUCUUACAUCAUGAUAAGGUUCUGCUUUGCUGGACGCUGUCCUGCUGCCUACAGCUAAUGCUGUUUGUAACUGUCCAACAUCAGUGACGACUUUGUUUCUGCCGACAUGCAGCUGCAGACGCUGCUGCGAAGGUCGCUGCCCAACAACCCCUCCCUCUCCUGAUCCUUGUUUCCUCUCCUGAUCCUUGUUUCCUCUCUCCAACUCUCUCUAUCCUUUCCUUCCUCUCUCCCUGUGCUUUAAACAUUUUGUACCUCACAGGAACGCAGACUCUGGCUGACGAAUGGUUCCACCUGUAGCCAUGGAGUCUGGUUUGGGCCUGAUGGAAGCAGUGCCGCCCAAACACUUUUUCCCCACAAUUCAGAUUUCCCAACAGGUGAAAACAGGCGACAGGACCACUACACCAUCCAACCAGGGCACGGGCGAUCGUUAAGGAGUUCAGGAGGAAGCACUGGACCUCCAAACGGUGGCGAGGCCCCUUCCAGGUCCUUCUGACGACCCACACGGCUGUAAAGAUCGCAGAGAGAGCGACUUGGACCAACUCCAUCCAGGAAGGUCCCGGAUCCGACAGACGACCCUCCAUCUACACCACACGGAGAAAACCACCACUGACAUAAAGAACUGAGAAGGACGACCCUCGCUGUGCUCACACACGCACUGAGGCGAGGCUGCGUUGACCAUUCAGCUAAAGGUGUGAGCCAAGCGCCGCCUGAAGCUGCGCCGGUGAAUCACACUAUCAGACCAUACAUCUACACACACGCUCCUGAGAAAACACACACACGAGCAGCCUUGAGUUGCCGACGCUGGACGACGUGUAGACUCUUCACAUCAUGGGAGUGACAGUGACUCAGACGACAUUGGGAGGAAACCUGGCGGUGAUAACGAACCCCAAAUGUCUCUGUGAUCAGCUGAUCACAACCUGAAGAACUCCAACGAACUGACAAUACUUCAACACACAGGUUGGAAACAAUCUAACGCUACUGUUCAACAGGAAGAAGCAGAUUGUUACAAGACAUCAAUUGUAACCUUGUUUUGUUAAACUUCAUUUUAUGUUACAUGGAUUGUUGUCUUUAUCAUAUGAUGUUUCUAUGUAACUUUACACACUACUUUUGAAUGAGAAAAUUUCACAUAAUUCACAACACUGAGUUUAAAUAUCCUAAAGUUGAUUUGGUGUUUAAUUUGCUCACAAUCACUUAUUCACUGCUACAAUUAGUUUUUAUCCUUUAUCUACAGAUGACAGAGGUUAUGAGACAAAACGCAUCAUCAUUCUGGUUAAAUCCCUGAAUCUCCUAUUCGCUCUAGACGCAAAUGUACAAUUAAAGAUCCGAAAGCAUGAAAUCUAUCUUAAGAUUAUAUGAUACAGAACCCCACCGGAAACCUAUGGCUAUCAUACAUUAAUUAUCUUUAUUACAUUACAAUUGAAUGGCCGUAGACACGUUGUUAGCAGAGAAAAAAGGCGGUUGUGUUAUGUUUGGAGACGCAUAUUGUACUUACAUCCUGAAUAACACUGAUUCUAAUGGUAUUGUGGCGAAGGCGCUACACGGCCUUCAGAAUCUCAGCUAACUCUGGUAUAGGUUCUUCCUCUUGGAAUUGGCUAGACGAAAUGUCUGGAAAAUGGAAAUCUGUUCUCAUGUCUGCAGCUGUUUCCUUUAUCAUUGUGAUGGCUGUGAUUCUCUUGUUUGGUUUUUACGUUAUCCCACUGGUUAGAGGUCUCAUCAUGCGUGCGACCUCAGCAACACUCUCGUAUGAGAUGACACAAUGCACUAUGUUCAAAAACCCCAACUCUAACUCACUUAAUGACUUUGACGAUGGUAUUGGCUUAUUUUCUUCACAUGCCAAUACAGAGGUUAUUCUUGUUUAACUACCCACCAAAAACAGCUCCCAACCUUUUGUCCCUUAGUUACUUCCAUUUUAUGUGAAGGUGUAUUUUGAAUCUUGAUGAGUUAAUACCCUUAUUGUUUCAUUUGCAAGGAUCUUUUAUUAUUACAGAAUGUGAUGUUGACAAUUUUUAUUCCUUCAUGGUUUGAUUAAUGUGUAAUCAAAAGGGGGGAGUGUUAUGGGAAAAAUUGUCUCUUCCUUAUUUCUAUGCAUUUCUAUGCAGUUAUUAUACGAGUUAUGACUUAUGUUCUGCAAUUAAUAUCUUAUGUUUUGUCUUACUGUAUGCAUUUGACAUUUCACCUAGAUUGUUCAAUGGUUGUCUCUGCCUGAUAGACUCUCAACUCUAGCUCCCAAACCCAAGGUCGGGGAGUUGUGUCUCUGUCUGUUGAGACUUGGUGCUCCUUUCUCACAGAUAGUUGGACGUCAGCGAUGCAGGUGUGAGAAAGUAAAAAUCUUCACACACACUGCGACAGGGAGGAGAUGGUGCAUGUAAUUUGAUUGGGUUAGAAAGACAUUCCACCCUAGUCGGACAGAGAAGCUAAACGGCAGAAGCAACUUGAGGAUCGUGGGCUCUUUGCAUCACACCUUCGUGGUGUGUGCACUGAUCUCCCCAGCUGGUUUUUGGUUUGUUGAUGUGCACGAUCAACAUCCAUGCUUUUUAUUUGCUUUCCCCAUUAUUUUUAUUUUCUUUAUUAUUUCAAUAAAUCGCACAAAAGGACAA